Non-coding RNA from Equus caballus (horse), 8843 nucleotides. The record is from RefSeq and is a predicted model, not a curated record. NCBI's taxonomy places the organism in Eukaryota, Metazoa, Chordata, Mammalia, Perissodactyla, Equidae.
AUCGCUAGGCAACCGCGGCGGCGUCGGUGUCGGCACCUGCCUUCCGCCUCUAGAGAGAAAGGGGCGGAGCUAAACCAAAGGAAGGGAGGGAGCUAGAAAGCGGCUGCAGGCAGGUUUCCGCGGUGCUAUCCCACUGGCUGAGGUCGCCAAGGCAGUAUUUCCAGCACCUAAAACGUGCCUGGAACUUAGUAGGCACUCGAUGAACAUUUGUCCAUUGAACGAACAAACGGAAGAAGCCAUACCUCAUUGCCCUCAGCUUCCCUUUUUAUGUUACAUUAAAGAGCCACAAGGGGGCUGUACAUCACUCCAUAACAAACAAGGAGCCAGCAAACCCACGUGGUCCACCCUCCGACGCCUGUCCUUACAGGAACGCCGAGAAUUGCAUAUUGAACAUUUCAAAUUUCAGACAAGACAUGUGUGUGUCUUAUCUCCACAAUUACUUAGAGCAAUCUGAAAUUAGGGACUAUGGAAAUUCUUUAAAGUGCCUGAUAAAGAUUUCUAGAAAGAAAAAAAAAAAGGAGACGUUUGUUCAUAAUAGAAGCUAAAAGAUGUUAAAGAAAAAUGCAUGACACAGGACGUGCUCGAUAAAUAACCAUGUUCUAGAAGAAAGGAUGAGGUGUUAUGGAGCCUAGCCCUAAUAGCGACACAUCACUGAUACAAACAGAAGGACAAGAUGCAAACUAAGAUACGGCUUUGGAUUAACGGCAGGCACCUGAUGGAAGAAUAUGGUUCUUUGAAACCAAAUAGUGCUUUGUUCUGUGCUUCACCACAUUUUCAAGAGGGAUAGUGUCAAACUUGCACCCAAAGUUACAAGUUAGGGCAAGGCUGACUUCUGUUCUGUACAAGGAUAAACUUUCAGACAAAGAGCCAUUCACAAAUUUUACAUGGCUUUUCAUGAUAUGUAUAAAUUCAAGAUAUUUGUUGUCUCUAAGAAUACUGGUGAUAUAAAUUGCUUAAGAAGAAUGUUAAAACUAAUCAUUGAUGCUGAGGCUGUAACGUAUUCCUAAGGGACUUUAGAAACUUUAGAGAACACUCCUAAUUUUCCCUUAAGGGGGCAGCACAGUGAAGGUGUAGGAGCAGUGGGUGUGAGGCCUGGAGACCCAGGUUCUUCUGGUUCUGUUUUGAUGAGCUGUGUGCCCUCGGGAAUCCAGUCCGCCUCUCUGGGCUCUACAAAACAAGAGUGUUAAUUGACCCUUCCAGCUUUACAUGUUAUGAUUCUAUCCCCUCUUCCUGAAAAUUUACCAGCACUGCCAUUAAAGCCAGAACGCUGCUCUGUUCAGCUCUUGGUUUGACCGCAGGUGACAGUUUUUAUUAAGUAGCUAUGUCUGCAUUAGCUUUCUCAAUACCCCUUCUCUUCGUUCUUUCCUUUUACCAGUAACAGACACAGCGACAGGUGCUGGGGUUAGAAAGAUGAAAACGCAGCCCUUGACCUUAAAGAGGUCCCCCUGGAAAGGUGAGCCAGCAGAUCAGCUACCUCUAUGCAGUGUGAGACCCACUCUGGAAGAGCUCUGCCUAAAUGCGGAGGGAACCCAGAGGGAGGAACCAGCUCUGAUAAGGAAGGCAGGGAGUGCAGGUCAGGGAAAAUGUCUCUGGGGGAGGUGACACGUGAACCACAUCUAAAGGAUAAAUUGGAAUUAGGAGAAAGGGAACUGUGGGUAAAAGCAUGAAGGCAUGUGGGGGUCCUGUAGGUUGGUGGACCAAAGAGUGGACGUGGUUACCUUGAGAGAACGGUGGUUAGACAGGUGAGCAGGAGGACCCAAGGGCUGAGGCAGUCUUCUGGAGAUGAUGGAGUCCCAGUGGAAGAUUGGAGCAGAUGAAGAUUACUAGGUUGUGCUCUAGAAAGAUCACUGUGGUAACGCCACAGAGAAUGUUGGCAGAUGGGUGUGGAGGUUAUCGUAGCCACCCGGGGGAAAUGAUACCUACUGAAUGAACACAGUGGCCAUGGGAAUGAAGAGGGGGGGGAGCCCAGAACUAUCUGGGAGGUAGAUUAGAGGAGAUGCAGGUAUGUUGGGGAAGUAGACCAACUCCUGGCUUGAGUGACCAGGCAGAUGGCAGUGUCCUUCACUGCAGGAGGAAAUUCUGGAGGAGGAACAGUUUGCAGUGGGGCACACCAUGCUCAUGUUGAGCCCAAGGGCCUAUGGGGGAACUGGCCAAUGGGCAGUUGGAUUCAAGGUCGCAGCAGACCAGUCUGGGCUGGAGAUAGAGAGCUGGGAGUAGGCGGUGACAGAAGCCAGGGGUGGGAAUGAAUAUGCCCCAAGAAUGGCAGAGAGGGACGGGAGAUAGGAAGGGAAUCUGGAGGUUUAGUGGGCAGGAGCAGGAAGAAAAGCCAGCAAAGAGGACCAAGGAAAGCGACCAAAGAGGUAGGAGGCAAUACGGAAACGACUUGUAACCCAGAUUCUGAGGGAGGAGAUGGUUUUAAGACUGUGGGAGAGAUCCACACUGCCAGAUGUUGCAGGAAGAGCAAACAAGGUCAGGCCAGAAAUGAAAACACCAGAUUUGGUCAUUUGGAGAGUCUAGGUGACCCACCUAAGAGCAUUUUCAAGUCAAGGGGGCAGAAGCCAACCUGCAGGGGUCGUAGUGGGACCAGACAGUGAGGGAGGGUAGACUGUGUGUGUGUGUGUUUGUGUGUGUGUGGACAGCCCCAGGCAGCUUCCAUGGCAGCUGUGGGCACUGCCUUCCUGCCUGUUUGCACCUUGGUCCUGUGCCCCCAGAGAAAGAGCAGCCUGACCUGGAGGCCUUCCCACCCUCAUUGUCACCACACCCCUGACAUGAGCCUGCAGUUGAUUUCACGUUACAUGCUCAUGACGCGUCACCCCAUAGGAAUGCAGGGUUCUUCACAGCAGACGCCUUCCCCAUAGCAGCCGUGGAUGAGAUUCCCGGCUGGCUGCAGCAGCCUCUGUGAAGGCGGUGACCACGAUGACCCAAUGCAACCACAGAGGCCUGGGAAACGCUACGUUGGCCCACAUUUGCUUACCGAGCAGGGUUCAGAAGAAGUCAGGGGAGGAACUUUGGUUUUGACUUUGAGGGGACAGAACCAUAAGGCUUGGGCGCCAGCACGGGUUAAGUCUGUUCUGCCAUCAAGGUGCCUCUUGAGCUCCCAGAUGCCUCCAAUAGGCAACAGACUUGAAUGUGGAUUCACUCCGGAAGGAAGGGCCCCACGUUCUUUUUGUUGUUUUUCGGCGCUGAUCCUUGACAAAGCCUGGCAGGGGAGUAACCUCAAUGCCAUUGCCUUUUGACAAGGGAGGACAUCCCAGGGCAGACAUGGAAAGGAACGUCUGCAGUGACAACCUGCUCCCUCCAGUCCUCGGCACGUGACUGGUCACUGAGCUCAGGCCAGGCACUGGGCCGCAAGUUCCAGAACUGGCCUUAGUCAGAUCCCAGACAUGAUGCAGAGGCCUCACUCUUCCUCUCUUCUUUUUCUGGAAACAUCUGGAAACUCCUCUGGGGAGAUCUGCCACAUGGCCUCUGGUGAACUUCAGACUUUCUGUAUAUUCUUCCGAAGUUCCUCGUUUGUUGUAUAUCAUGAGAAAUGACUUUCAUGGUGCACAGAGAGAAGAUCUAAUCUGAGGUCUGGGUGACUGUUGAACACACAGCUCUUCAGGCUCCUGCCAGGCUGUCGUGUCAUCACGCUGCUGUCCUCACACUGCCCUCCGCCCUGGCAGCAGUGGAGGGUUGUCCUGGAGCAUCUUGGGGAGCCAAGGCCACAGUGCCACCCGGCAUGAUGAUGUGGCCCACAGAGCCGGGAAUGGUAAAAGCCUCUCGUCCACGCCAGACACUGUGCUACUCACUGUUUUUCACUCUUCACUGCAUACCUGUAAUCGGAGCGUUGGUUUAUUCCCAUUUCCUGGGAAAGAAAACCGAGGCUCAGAAUGGUUAAGCCUAACAUCUCCAGCCACCAUACCGGUUCUCACCGGGAAAAGAGAAAGCACGCCCACCCUACAGAUUCUUGGAAGUCUGGCUCACUAAUCCCUGAGAAAGCCCCCCGACACCCACAGACCACGCAGAAACCGUAUGACUCCUGCAAGCACUCUGGCCAGAACUGGGGCCUGCCGAGGGGACACGUCAGGAGUCAGGGCGAGCCUGGCUCAGUGGGUGUGCUCGUCACACUGGAUGGCCGAACACCACAGCCUCCCCACAGAAAAAGGGAAGCCAGACAAAAACCGAACAGCUGGACCACAGCAAGCCCUGCCCCAGCGAGGAGCCAGGGCGGGACUCCCUGUGAGAGAUGAGAAGGCCUUCACCCCACCCCCAGCCUCCCCUGGGCACACAGGGCUGGGGCAGGAAUGAGACUGUUUGGUGCUGCCUGUUUGCCCAGGGACCCAGGCUGAAGGCAGCCCACCACUCUGCUAUUUCCUCUCUGAGCCCCAUCCCCCAGCCGUCUGUGAUAUGAGAGCCUGGCCGUGUGCCUGGCAGGCCCUGGCCUGGGCAAGGGGCUGACAGGAAUAGGUAUCUAGGCAAGGAAGGGUGGCACAGAGAAGAGCAUCAGGGGGCCUGGGAGGCCCGGGAGUCCAGGGUGUCAGGCAAGACCCAGUGACUCCCCAAUGUCACACGUCAUGGCAGACCCUGGGCUGUUUUGGUACCUGACAGAAUUUCAUCUCCAUGCUAACGGUGAGGGAAGGGUCUGCUGCACACACCACCAGAGCGAGAAGAUUAUGGAGAAGAGGGUUCUAGAAUUCUCUUAAGCAGCCCUGCCGUCUCCCAGGCCUGUGCUUCCUCAUGUGUAAAAGGACGGUCAGCAGUACUCAAAGCUAUCAAGGGCAUCAAAAUCAAGGCAAAUCUAAGAAACUGCCAGUCUUGAAGACCCCAAGGGACCAUGACGAUAACUAAGUGUAAUGUGACACCCUGGAUGCUAUCCUGGAACAGAAAAAGGACAUUAGGUAAAAACUGAAUCAAGUAUGGACUUUAGUUAAUAAAGUAACAACACUGAUCCAUUAGUUGUGACAAAUGUAGCAUGCUGAUGUAAGAUGUUAACAACAGGGGAAACUGGUGUGAGGUGUAUGGGGACUCUGUGCUAGCUUCAUAGCUUUUCUGUAAAUUGAAAACUCAUACAAAAUAAAACAUUUGUUUAAAAAGAAAAAAAAGAAGAGUCAGCCUUACUGUCUUUAAGCUCUGGGAGCUGAGAAUUUUGUUCUCCUUUACCAAGUGUGGAUUUCUAACACAUCUUUUCAAGUGAUUUGGCAGCAUCUUGGCGCUUUCAAUGAUUAACAAGGGGCUGAUGACAAGUGGUUCCUUACAGGAAGGCCAGCAGGGGUCCUGCCGGGCGCCUGCAGUCCGUGAGACUGUGACAGUGACACAGUGAGCAUAAUGUAGCCACUCUCUGGGGGCACUGACUGUGUGCCAGCUGAGGUACCGCAACCCUGAAGACCAGGUAUUAUUAUACUCUGUUUACAGGUGAGGAAACCAAGGCUCCAGAGGUUAAGUAAUUUGCCAGGGUCAGACCACUAGAAAGUGCCAGAGCUGGCCUUGCCUUCAGUUCUACCUGACUGCAAAGUUCCUAUCCUAACCGCUGCUCAAGAAAUAACGCUGCACUUAUUUUAAUAUAGUUUGUCAUUAAGAAGCUUUCCUGUAUCCCAGCUCAGAGGGUACUGUGUUCCAAACCCACAUACUCCUGAGUUCUAGGAAUCAAAACCCAUAGGCCAGAGCAUGGCUGCGUUCCCAGAACAUCUGUGUGCAGUCUUUGUAGGGACAGGCCUUCCCGCAGCAGCCUCGAGGCUUUCCCAGACUGUCAAAUAUUGGCGACGUCCUGUGUCUCCAGUGGCUUUUGGGACCCUCAUACCUCAGUCAUCCCUGAGAAGGAAAGACGACAAGGAAGGACAGGUGGACCUUGACCCGCUUCCUACCCAAAUCACAGGGCAUGUGGCAGGGUGGAGACGGGACCAAAUCCAGACCAGGGCUGCAGCCGGCAGACCACUGCACGGUGCGACAUUCUCUAGAAGCCGCCUGGGCAGGAAGGCCAGGGUAAUUUAUGUGCAGGGCCAGGUCAACCGCCAAAGGCAUGAAGGGAGAGAAAGUGACCUAUAAGAAUUAGAUAUGGACAUUUAAUACACAUGCAACAGCACAUUCUGAACACAACUGAGGUGAAAUUGUGUCAUGCAAAAUCCACGCCAACCAGAGCCAGCUUGUGCAGAAAUGGGAGCCCCUCCCCUCCUCCCGUCCUCGGCUCAUUCUGUCAUCCCUUUUGCUUCCCACCCAGACUGCAAUCUCAACCUUUCCUUAUUAGCCCCACUUCAUGGUGACCCUGAGUUUCAUCUCCCUUCCCUGGGUGGUUUAAAGAUGCUUUUUCUAUACUAAAGCCAAUGAAUAACAUCUUGUUUGUUACUUUGUAAGCAUUCCCGGGCCUGUCCCAGAUAUGUCUAUUUCAAAACUUCAUCUAAACUAGUUGUAUCAUAGGCUGUGGGUGGGGUGACCAAGCAUCCUAGUUUGCAUGGGACCGUCCCAGGUCUUAGCACUGAGAGUCUCGCAUCCCCAGGGAACCCCUCAGUCCCAGGCAAACUGGGACAGUGGGUUACCUGGCUGUGGAGCCUCUCCUUGGCAAGCACCCCAACCUGUUCAUAGCUAAAGCGGUGUUGUUCAUAAGUGGUGUAGACCCUUGAGUGUGGUCCUUGGAUGGUGGCGACAGCAUCCCCUGGGAGCUUGUUAGAGAUGCAGACUCUCAGGCCACACCCCAGACCUGCUGAAUCAGAACCUGCUCUUUAACACGGUCCCCAGGAGAUUCCCAUGAAGGCUGAAUUCGAGAACAGCUGCUCUACAGCCGUGACUGCCAGCCUUUCUCUGCUGAGAAACACAAUGUGGACAAUGUCCGCUUUCCGGACAUGCUUCCAUCGGGCACCCCCGAUUAGAACUGAGCCCCAGCUUUUGGGAGGCCAGGCAAGCGCUAGACCACUUUUGAAACCAUCCUGACUGGGCAGGCACAGCCUCUCGGGGAAGGCUGCAGCUGGGCCAGGAGGGCCGCAGGUUUGCGUGGUCCUGCCAGAGCCGCCACGCCAGGCUUCUCUCUCUGAGGAUACGAGGGAGAGGAGAGUUGGAGGCCUGGCCUCAAAUCUGCUCUAACUUAUAAAUGUAAACAGAUAAAAGAGUCACAAAUGUUGGCACCUGAACAGUGAUUAGCAGGAAGUUAUAUGUGACGCCUCAUAUCUGAUCUCAGUACCCUGCCCUUCUCGACUUGGGGGUUGAUCAGAAGCCCUCUGGGGCUUGUUUUUUAAAAACAAAAAUGCCAGGGCCACAGCUUGGACCUCCUGAAUCAGGGGAGAGGCCAGGCUGCUAUGAUUUGGGGAAGUCCCCCAGGUGGUCCUGGGACCAGAACCACGAGAGCCUGCACCCUGCUCAGCCUUGCCCUCUCUCUGCCACCCUACCUGUCACCAGAUGAGGAUGCCCUUCCCUCCCGGCACUGGAGGAGGGUGACAGGGACUCCCAGCCCCUGACCGGCACGGGCCAGCGCACUCUUUCUGGGGGUGUGGGCGUGGGGAGAAUGGACUGUAGCAGACUGGACUCGAGAUCUCAGAACCCUCGGGAAGCUCAGACACUGCACGGUGUCUGAAUACAGAAAUGUUGACAGCAAACUGCUGCUUUUCAGGGAUGGAUAUGUUCCUGAAGGUGCCUCGGGGCUGGCUGCCCAAGCCUGGGGGUGGUUUGCUCUGAGUCCUGCAAUCCCUUCGCCCGCAGUUUUCCUCCCACCCACCAUGACUGGACUUUGUGAAGAAUCCGGUCCCUGGCUGUGAAACGUUUUUCUCUUGAAGUACCAAGAAAAUUUCCCCCAGCAGCCUUUGCAGACAUGCCUCUGCCACUGCACCCUCAGGGUCUCUAGUGGGGUGCUUCCAGGGCUGAGCUCUGACCCCAUACACCUCUUCCCUUUAGGCCACCUGCCACUGAGGGAGCUGCCCUGAAGAGCCACCCUUGAGACACAGGGAGGGGACACGGACAAAGAAGACAGGGGUUGAAGAUGUAGGAAGGACCACUGAUGGGCAGUCAGGAAGCCUGCCUUCUGGUCCCUACUUGCCCACACAGUUAUGAGUCGCAUGGCCUUGGACCAUCCCUUCUCCUCUUUGGGCCUCAGUUUCCCCUCCCUGUGACGUGAGAGGGUCCAGAGGGCCUCUGAGCUCUGCUUCAGCUUUACGGCCAUGAUCCUUAUGGACAGGGCUCCCUGUCCACCAAACGGACCAGCAGAGCACAUACGCAGGACACAUGCGUGCAGACGUCCUCUUAGGCUAUGAGUUCUGAGGAGUAUACAUGGGAGGGCUCAUUUUAUCUCCUGUGCUGGAGACGCAGGCCACCUCCUGCACCAGCAACGUUCCCAACACUGGGGAGCAAAGAGUCUCACCACUAAUGUCCUUUCUGUGCCCACUUUGCACAUUUCUCUUUCAACCCUCCCACAAUCUGUGAGGAACUAUCAUUAUCCCCAUUUUGUUUUCGAAGAAAUUUUUAUGUAAGUUUAAACUGUGUCAAAUGUACCAGGUCUGCUGAACUGUGUAAUUUUUGGUCUUUUCCCUGUUGAACUAGAAAUGGGCCAAGUGUGUCAUCAUUUGGCACAUAAGACACCAAGCAUUUGUCCAUCGAGAAUCAACAGAUCUCAACAUGGGACAAAAUUGAGCCUGACUCUUAAAUCUCCGCGAGGAUUUUACUACCUAAUAAAGUUAUCACACAGCUUUAUUGCCUUGAGGGCAAGUUGAACUCUUUUAGAACAGCGGGCACAGACGUGACUCAGUCUGAUUUAGUGCAUCCCCAAACAAUGAAGUCUUGGGGGGUUUUGUGUGUGUGGGUUUCGGUUUUGUUUUGUCAAAAAUUCUGGAGCAUACUCAGCACAAGAUUUUACCUAAAGCUGCUGGAGCAGCAUUAACAUAUAUUCC